RNAcentral lists this ribosomal RNA (440 nucleotides) under uncultured bacterium. RNAcentral describes it as "partial 16S ribosomal RNA". It matches the Rfam family "Bacterial small subunit ribosomal RNA", at positions 338 to 795 of the family's 1533-position model. The record is from RNAcentral.
CCUACGGGUGGCAGCAGUGGGGAAUAGUGCACAAUGGGGGAAACCCUGAUGCAGCGACGCCGCGUGAGUGAAGAAGUAUUUCGGUACGUAAAGCUCUAUCAGCAGGGAAGAAAAUGACGGUACCGGACUAAGAAGCCCCGGCUAACGACGUGCCAGCAGCCGCGGUAAGACGUAGGGGGCAAGCGUUAUCCGGAUGUACUGGGUGUAAAGGGAGCGUAGACGGCAGCGCAAGUCUGGAGUGAAAUCCAAUGGCUUCACCAUGGAACUGCUUGGGAAACUUUGCAGCUAGAGUUCAGGAGAGGUACGCGGAAUUCCUAGUGUAGCGGUGAAAUGCGUAGAUAUUAGGAUGAACACCAGUGGCGAAUGCGGCUUACUGGACUGUACCUGCCGUUGCGGCUCGCCCGCGUGGGGAGCAAACAGGAUUAGAUCCCCCAGUAGUC